UGAGCAAUCUGCCCUUCUCAUCGGAAUAAGCGUUGGAAACGACGUCUAAUGCCGAAUACGACCUCCUUUCACAUGAUCGGAGGUGGAAAGCUCCGGCGGAGAAGGAUGAGCUCGCGGCCUACCAGCUAGUUGGUGUGGGUAAUGGCCCACCAAGGCGACGACGGGUAGCCGGCCUGAGAGGGUGAUCGGCCACACUGGGACUGAGACACGGCCCAGACUCCUACGGGAGCAG
RNAcentral lists this ribosomal RNA (232 nucleotides) under uncultured bacterium. RNAcentral describes it as "partial 16S ribosomal RNA". It matches the Rfam family "Bacterial small subunit ribosomal RNA", at positions 118 to 347 of the family's 1533-position model. The record is from RNAcentral.